UACAGAGGGGGCAAGCGUUGUUCGGAAUUACUGGGCGUAAAGGGCGCGUAGGCGGCCUGUUAAGUCGAACGUGAAAUCCCCGGGCUCAACCCGGGAACUGCGUCCGAUACUGGCAGGCUCGAAUCCGGGAGAGGGAUGCGGAAUUCCAGGUGUAGCGGUGAAAUGCGUAGAUAUCUGGAGGAACACCGGUGGCGAAGGCGGCAUCCUGGACCGGCAUUGACGCUGAGGCGCGAAAGCCAGGGGAGCAAACGGGG
This 254-nucleotide ribosomal RNA is filed under the name uncultured bacterium. Its description in RNAcentral is "partial 16S ribosomal RNA". It matches the Rfam family "Bacterial small subunit ribosomal RNA", at positions 524 to 777 of the family's 1533-position model. The record is from RNAcentral.